UACGAAGGGGGCUAGCGUUGCUCGGAAUCACUGGGCGUAAAGCGCACGUAGGCGGAUCGUUAAGUCGGGGGUGAAAUCCUGGAGCUCAACUCCAGAACUGCCUUUGAUACUGGCGAUCUUGAGUCCGGGAGAGGUGAGUGGAACUCCGAGUGUAGAGGUGAAAUUCGUAGAUAUUCGGAGGAACACCAGUGGCGAAGGCGGCUCACUGGUCCGGUACUGACGCUGAGGUGCGAAAGCGUGGGGAGCAAACAGG
Molecule: ribosomal RNA, 253 nt
Filed under: uncultured bacterium
Lineage: Bacteria
Description: partial 16S ribosomal RNA
Rfam family: Bacterial small subunit ribosomal RNA
Source: RNAcentral